AACGAACGCUGGCGGCAUGCCUAACACAUGCAAGUCGAACGAGACCUUCGGGUCUAGUUGCGCACGGGUGCGUAACGCGUGGGAACCUGCCCUUAGGUUCGGAAUAACUCCCCGAAAGGGGUGCUAAUACCGGAUAAUGUCUUCGGACCAAAGAUUUAUCGCCUUUGGAUGGGCCCGCGUUGGAUUAGCUAGUUGGUAGGGUAAAAGCCUACCAAGGCGACGAUCCAUAGCUGGUCUGAGAGGAUGAUCAGCCACACUGGGACUGAGACACGGCCCAGACUCCUACGGGAGGCAGCAGUGGGGAAUAUUGGACAAUGGGGGAAGGCCUGAUCCAGCAAUGCCGCGUGAGUGAUGAAGGCCUUAGGGUUGUAAAGCUCUUUUACCCGGGAUGAUAAUGACAGUACCGGGAGAAUAAGCUCCGGCUAACUCCGUG
This 433-nucleotide ribosomal RNA is filed under the name uncultured bacterium. Its description in RNAcentral is "partial 16S ribosomal RNA". It matches the Rfam family "Bacterial small subunit ribosomal RNA", at positions 29 to 507 of the family's 1533-position model. The record is from RNAcentral.